UGGGGAAUAUUGGACAAUGGGGGCAACCCUGAUCCAGCAAUGCCGCGUGAGUGAAGAAGGCCUUCGGGUUGUAAAGCUCUUUUAUCAGGGACGAUAAUGACGGUACCUGAGGAAUAAGCUCCGGCUAACUUCGUGCCAGCAGCCGCGGUAAUACGAAGGGAGCUAGCGUUGUUCGGAAUUACUGGGCGUAAAGGGCGCGUAGGCGGUAAGAUAAGUCAGAUGUGAAAGCCUUGGGCUUAACCUGAGAACUGCAUUUGAUACUGUCUAGCUAGAGGACGAGAGAGGAAAGUGGAAUUACGAGUGUAGAGGUGAAAUUCGUAGAUAUUCGUAAGAACACCAGUGGCGAAGGCGGCAUCCUGGGCCAACACUGACACUGAGGCACGAAAGCGUGGGGAGCAAACA
Molecule: ribosomal RNA, 402 nt
Filed under: uncultured bacterium
Lineage: Bacteria
Description: bacterial SSU rRNA
Rfam family: Bacterial small subunit ribosomal RNA
Source: RNAcentral